GUUUGCACUUGUCGGGGAAGGGUGAGAACCUUCGAUUAAGGUUCGACUCGAGCGAAAGCGAGAGAAUGUUGCCAACGGCAACGGCCCGUAGGGUGAGGAGCGAAGCGACGAAUAAUCCUUCCCCCACCACCA
This 132-nucleotide small RNA is filed under the name Salmonella enterica subsp. enterica serovar Gallinarum. RNAcentral's name for it is "RtT sRNA". It matches the Rfam family "RtT RNA". Rfam says of the family: This family represents a bacterial cis-regulatory element known as RtT RNA. The exact function of RtT is unknown although it is thought that it may be involved in changing the cellular response in relation to amino acid starvation. The record is from RNAcentral. Lineage: Bacteria; Pseudomonadati; Pseudomonadota; Gammaproteobacteria; Enterobacterales; Enterobacteriaceae. RNAcentral also lists the same sequence under 101 other names.